Molecule: long non-coding RNA, 737 nt
Filed under: Rattus norvegicus (Norway rat)
Lineage: Eukaryota; Metazoa; Chordata; Mammalia; Rodentia; Muridae
Description: long non-coding RNA NONRATT026599
Source: RNAcentral
CUCAGGCCCUGAGGACAGGAGGCUCCCUGUGGCCAUGACGACAGGUGACUGUUGCCACCUCCCUGGCUCCCUAUGUGACUGCUCUAGCAGCCCUGCCUUUUCCAAGGUUGUGGAGGCCACAGGGCUUGGACCACCUCAGUAUGUAGCUCAAGUGACUUCAAGGGAUGGCCGGCUGCUCUCAACUGUCAUCCGGGCUUUGGAUACACCGAGUGGCUAAAGGACCCAGGGCCGCGCACCGAGAAGCGGACACUGUGCUGUGACAUGGUGUGCUUUGUGUUUAUCACACCACUGGCCGCCAUCUCAGGCUGGCUGUGCCUGCGAGGGGCCCAGGACCACCUCCGUCUGCAUAGCCGGCUGGAGGCUGUAGGGCUCAUUGCCCUCACCAUCGCCCUCUUCACCAUCUAUGUGCUCUGGACACUGGUGAGUGGGUGAAGCCCGUGUGGGUGGGCUCAGCUGGGAUCCCUAGGCUGUGUGUGAGUGUUGCUUCUGCUGGGAGUGGUCCGCUCAGCUUCCUUGUUCCAGGUUGGCAUUGGAACACAGGUCUAGGGAUGCCCAAAGCCAGCAGUGAGCCGUUUGCUCCAAGUGCACAAGGACAUUUAAUCACUAUGGGUCAGGUGGGAAGAAGGAAGACAGAUCAGCAAAAGGCUGAAGCUAGGAAGAGAUUGGGAGUGAAGUAGAACAAAUACAUACUAAGAAACUGAGGGUAGGUGAGAUAUCUUAGCAGUAGAGUAGCUGGU